This 32-nucleotide ribosomal RNA is filed under the name Ostreopsis lenticularis. RNAcentral describes it as "partial large subunit ribosomal RNA". The record is from RNAcentral. Lineage: Eukaryota; Dinophyceae; Peridiniales; Ostreopsidaceae.
UGAGCAAUGUCUUAGCACCUGCUGAAUUUAAG